RNAcentral lists this long non-coding RNA (1715 nucleotides) under Ricinus communis (castor bean). RNAcentral describes it as "long non-coding RNA (RCOM_LNC000108)". The record is from RNAcentral. Lineage: Eukaryota; Viridiplantae; Streptophyta; Magnoliopsida; Malpighiales; Euphorbiaceae.
UUUGCUUGCCUUUUUGACCAACAACAACAUUAAAACAAACACAUGAUGUGCUUAUCUUUCUCUUCUAAAACUGUUGAUAGGCCUUAAUAAAACAUUAAACCAUUUCUAGUCGAACUAAGCAGCCCCUUCUUCACUUUCAAAUCACAAGGCGCGUGGCCCCUAUCAUCGAUUGUCCAGUUACGAUGAUGAUUGGUGACCAUCUCGACCUCGACAUUAAUGGGUCCGGACUUCUAUCUACAGUAAUUGCUGAUCACAGGAAAAGAGAGGGACCGAGUGGGUCCAUGUCGUGCAAAACUUGACCAUCAUGAUGCUGAUUUUUCAGUUCAUUUUGUUGCCUCUUUCCGUGAUGAGUCCGUUAUAAGCCCAAGCACCCUUUUCUUUUCAUUGGACCACUUCUUCUUCCUUUUGAUUCGGUCUGUACAACAAUACAUCGAGCGAGUUUCAAAUUUUGUGUCCGAAUUUGCACAUGGCGUGAAUGAUUUAUAUUAUAUAAAUCGAGCGGUAAGAGUAAAUGUUCAUAAAAUUAAAGUUUUAAUAAUAUAUAAUUGAUCUAACAUCUGAAUUAUUGUUAUUUUUAAAACAUACUGCUUCUUCAAAGUCAGGAGGAUUCUAUUCAUGAACAUGUGUAGGCAAUAGUGAUAGCCUACCAACCAUAUUUACACCCUGCAUUAAUUCAUUUUAUUGAAUACGAGGAUUCAAUACCCACCAUGCAAAUUUCGCACUUCACGCCAAACAAAAUAAAUGAUCUGGGUAAAUUUUUGUUUGAACAUGGAAUUUUUUGAACUGGGUCGAAUAUAGAUGAUUGAUAUCUAAAAGAAAACAAAAAGAAGAAAUGAAAUGGAAGUCAAGAGAUCCUACACUCUAAAUUUUGCAGAAAGGCCCACAUCUCAUGGGCUUAGCAGUAGGCAGUAUUCAGAACAGCAGUUGAGAUGUGUUCUAUAAGCAACAAUCAGUUUGGCACUCGGCAGUGGCCUUCGCCUAAGAUUGGGCAACUGUGAUUUUCACACAAGAGCUCAAUCCACAGAAUUCUAAAUCUUCCCGAUUCACGCCGAAAGCAAGGGCUAAAAAGAAACAUGUUUCUAAUUCUUGUAACAAAUUAAAUAUAGAUAGACAGGCCAGAAAUCCAACCUCAGCAAAAGGAUAAAUCUGAGUCUAAUUUAGAUUAGAUUAAGCCACUUUAUCUGGACAAUAACUCAUACAUAUCAAAUGAAGCAUCAGUUUUUUUUUUUUUUUCUUCUUUAGAUAGCUAGGAUUGAAAAUAUCAAUCAAGCAAGACCUUUUUUGUGUGAAUUUGAGUACAAAAUUCUACUCCUCCAAAAACAAAACAGUAAUCAAAUUAUUACUGGAGUUGUUUCUUCACAUUCAAAGCAAUUAAUCAAUGGUCACAGGAAAAUAAAAUGAAGUGAUAUUACAUUGUUAAACGGACAAAUAAGAAAUUGGUGACUUUCCGACAUUCUAAGUUUGUAAUCCCUUUUUUCAUCCAUGCAUAUGAAAUGAAAGUAGAGAAACGACAAUAAUAAAGUAAAAAGUGAUGACUUUUGCAACAAUUAAAGGAUAUAUAUAUAUAUAUAUACAUUAUCCACUUUAUUGAACAGAAAUGUAAAUAGUAUAUAAUAAAAUGGCUUGAAAUUCGAGGAAUGAACCUUUGUGUGCAAUGGAAGUUCAACACGUGAUGGACACAAGAGAGAGAGCAUUGUUAGCUGUAAAGCCAUAUG